Molecule: ribosomal RNA, 430 nt
Filed under: uncultured bacterium
Lineage: Bacteria
Description: partial 16S ribosomal RNA
Rfam family: Bacterial small subunit ribosomal RNA
Source: RNAcentral
CCUACGGGAGGCUGCAGUCGAGAAUUUUUGGCAAUGGGCGAAAGCCUGACCAAGCGAUGCCGCGUGCGGGAUGAAGGCCUUCGGGUUGUAAACCGCUGUCAGUGGGGAGGCCUAUCUGCGGAGGAAGUGUGGGCUAAGUUCGUGCCAGCAGCCGCGGUACGACGAACCACACGAACGUUCUUCGGAAUUACUGGGCUUAAAGGGUGCGUAGGCGGCGUGGUAAGUUGGGUGUGAAAUCCCUCGGCUCAAACGAGGAACUGCGCCCAAAACUACCAUGCUUGAGGAAGAUAGAGGUAAGCGGAACUUACGGUGGAGCGGUGAAAUGCGUUGAUAUCGUAAGGAACACCUGUGGCGAAAGCGGCUUACUGGGUUUUCUGACGCUGAUGCACGAAAGCCAGGGGAGCAAACGGGAUUAGAUACCCUUGUAGUC